CAGUCGCCGCGGUAAUACAGAGGGUGCAAGCGUUAAUCGGAAUUACUGGGCGUAAAGCGCGCGUAGGUGGUUCGCCAAGUUGGAUGUGAAAUCCCCGGGCUCAACCUGGGAACUGCAUCCAAAACUGGUGAGCUAGAGUACGGUAGAGGGUAGUGGAAUUUCCUGUGUAGCGGUGAAAUGCGUAGAUAUAGGAAGGAACACCAGUGGCGAAGGCGACUACCUGGACUGAUACUGACACUGAGGUGCGAAAGCGUGGGGAGCAAACAGGAUUAGAUACCCCUGUAGUCCCUGUCUCUUAUAC
Molecule: ribosomal RNA, 301 nt
Filed under: uncultured bacterium
Lineage: Bacteria
Description: partial 16S ribosomal RNA
Rfam family: Bacterial small subunit ribosomal RNA
Source: RNAcentral